Molecule: RNase P RNA, 388 nt
Filed under: Gammaproteobacteria bacterium
Lineage: Bacteria; Pseudomonadati; Pseudomonadota; Gammaproteobacteria
Description: RNase P RNA component class A
Rfam family: Bacterial RNase P class A
About the family: Ribonuclease P (RNase P) is a ubiquitous endoribonuclease, found in archaea, bacteria and eukarya as well as chloroplasts and mitochondria. Its best characterised activity is the generation of mature 5'-ends of tRNAs by cleaving the 5'-leader elements of precursor-tRNAs. Cellular RNase Ps are ribonucleoproteins.
Source: RNAcentral
CGAGCGGGUUGGACGGUCGCUGGCAGCUGCGCUGAAGCAGGUGCUGGAGGAAAGUCCGGGCUCCAUAGAGCAGGAUGCCAGGUAACGCCUGGGGGGUGUGAACCUACGGAAAGUGCCACAGAAAAUAUACCGCCUUGAGUGCGUGAUACGUACUCAAGGUAAGGGUGAAAUGGUGCGGUAAGAGCGCACCGCGUCGACCAACAUCGACGGCACGGUAAACCCCAUCCGGAGCAAGACCAAAUAGGGGAGUAAGCUGCCUUGUGCAGCAAAGCGCGGCUCGCGUGGACUCCCGGGUAGGUCGCUACAGGCCUGCGGUAACGUAGGUCGCAGAUGAAUGGCCGUCACUGCGCGAGCAGUACAGAACCCGGCUUAUAGACCCGCUCGUUUU